AAAAAAUAGAUUUGCAUUUCCUGAAGGAAAUACCAGCGAUUGCAAGGCAGGUUCUGUGUGACUGAAAUGCCAAAUUAGAGCCACUUCAGCAAACGAAAACAACAGCGAUAUUUUGCAGCGUUGGAGGGCUGUGAUUGUGUUCCACUGGAGGAAAGUAGGCGGGUUCUUUCUCUUCCCGACCCCCUGCGCUGGAGUAAAACCCCGCCCUCUCCUCGCUCCACCCACUCGCAGCGGUCGGCUCCGCCCUCUGAGCGCCGGGAGUUCUGUCUGGUUGGUGUUCUUGGAGGGCGACCGUUCUUCUCAUCUAGCGUGGAGCAAAAAAAGGCUGUGGAAGAGUGGAAGCAUGCUGGAAAAAUGCAUAACAUGGAGAAGGAGAUGUCUACCUGGAAUUUGACGGGUUUCUGGAAGACAGACGGACCUCCAGAAGACUUGUACUCUGCUCGGAAACUCGUCUGAGAGAUUACGCUGUGACUGAGGGAGGGAAUCUGAAG
Molecule: long non-coding RNA, 491 nt
Organism: Labeo rohita (rohu)
Lineage: Eukaryota; Metazoa; Chordata; Actinopteri; Cypriniformes; Cyprinidae
Exons: 3
Source: RefSeq, a predicted model, not a curated record